GGUGAUGGAUCCGACUCCUCUCGAAGGAUAAUAUAGGCUCUCCUCCCCACUCCUACUCAAUACGUCCAAGGCGUACAGAACGG
Molecule: non-coding RNA, 83 nt
Organism: Anopheles atroparvus
Lineage: Eukaryota; Metazoa; Arthropoda; Insecta; Diptera; Culicidae
Source: Rfam